GCUAAUUUUUGUAUUUUUAGUAGAGACAGGGUUUCGCCAUAUUGACCAGACGGGUCUCAAACUCUGGUCUCAAGUGAUCUGCCCCCAUCAGCCUUCCAAAGUGCAAAAUAAGCUUUGUGACUGCGUGCAUUUUAAGCUGAGCCCUCUGACUAGCUGUUUCUGUGUCUCAGCUCUCCUCUCUUUUCUUUGCAUAAGAUUAAUGGUCAAAAAACAACAUUUUAGAUUAUUUGGAGAACAAUAAUGCUAGCAAACUUGUUAUAGUCUCCAUACAUUAUUAGGGUGUAUUUUUACUAAAAUAUUGUUGCAUUUCAGUUUAGCUAACAUUACCCUAUGAGUAGAAUUAGAUUUAGAUCCAGAGAGAGUUUUUUCUUACAAACACCUAGAAAUAGAUACUCUACAUAGACAUUUGGCAAAAGUUUUUGGCUAGAAGAAAAGACCCAAUUUCCUACAGAAACCAGAGAUUCUUGGCAUUGAUUAUAAAAACAGAUGGAAAGCAUUGAUUAUGCUAAUGAUGAUGGUUCUGGGGAUACUGAGGCUCGAACAGGGUGAAGAGGGGAGGGCUCUGUGGUAAGAUCACUUACUCCCAGUGAUCCUGACUCAUGCUCUGUCCUUACCAUGCAGGACACAAUGGCAAGACUUCCUGCCACCAGCACCUGCAUCUCCUUGUGAGAAAGCUUCUCUGGCUGUCCGAUUCCACUCUUCCAGCUGUGCAGAGGUGCCCAGAGAUCACGGCCACUGGGAUGGGCUCUCAACCAGUGGCUGAUGGGACUUGGGGCAGAAAUGCCACCAGCUAGGCCGGAUCUAUGGCUCACACCUGUAAUCCCAGCACUUUGAGAGGCCAAGGCAGAAGGAUCUCUUGAGGCUAGGAGUUCAAGACCAGCCUGGGCAACACAGUGAGACAUCUCUCUAGAAAAACAUACAAAAAUUAGCAAAGCACAGCAAUGUGCACCUGGAGCCUCAACUAUGCAGGAAGCUGAGGAAGGAAGACUGGCUGACCCCAUGAGUUUGAGGUUGUAGUGAGUUAUGAUCACAGCACUGCAUUUGAGCCUAGAUGACAGUGAGACCUCAUCUCUAAAAAAAAGAAAAAUAUACAAAUAAAUAAAUAACUAUCCCAGUUCCUUUUUCCCUUAGUGUGAAAACUCUGGAGUACAUGUUUUUUACAGACUCUCAGAGUUCCCUGGAAGAAUGAAGUUUUGGUUACCUGCAGGGUUACCUACGCUGCCUACUACGGAGAACUUUUUUAACUAACUUUUCUACCCUCUCUCACUUCCCUGUUUGCUUUCCAAGUAUCUCCUGGAUCACUUCUCAAGUAAACUGCUUGCACCCAAAUUCUCUUCUCAAGAAUCUGCUUCUAGGAAACCUAAACCAAGAUGCUAUUCCCCUCGCAGAAAACAUUCCCACCCAUGAAAAGCCCAACUGCUUAGCACAACAAUCCCUCCUUAUUUCCUCCUAAAAGUCAACUAAGCAGCCGGGUAUGGUGGCUCAUGCCUGUAAUCCCAGCACUUUGGGAGGCCAAGGCAGGUGGAUCACCUGAGGUUGAGAGUUCAAGUCCAGACUGAUCAAAUUGGAGAAACCCUGGCUCUAGUAAAAAUACAAAGUAAGCUGGGUGUGGUGGCACAUGCCUGUAAUCUCAGCUACUCAGUAGGCUGAGGCAGAAGAAUCACUUGAACCCAGGCGGCAGAGGUUGUGGUGAACUGAGAUUGCGCCUCUGCACUCCAGCCUAGGCAACAAGAGUGAAACUCUAUCUCCGAAAAAAAAAAGUCAACCAAGGAUAUGACUAUCUCACUAUGAUGUUAGGUCAUGUUUAGGUGGUGACCAAGUGGCUGGCAUCCUGUUCUAUGCUUUGUAAGUCACCUCUCCUAGCUAGCCACUCACAUUCUUUCAUUCUCUCCUUAUGGAGAAGGAGAGAAAGGGCUCUGAAGUAAGGAGACCACUUGUAGCAAAAUCCUAUUUAAUAUGAAAUUAAGUUACUAGCGAACUUUCAGGUAGUCUGACACACAAAGAUAGUAAUUACCUUCUGAAAUGUAAUUUUCAAAAAUGAUUAAGAUGGAAACCUCAAAAUUUAAAAGAGUUUUGUGUGAUUGUUCUUGUGGUGUGAAAUCCUUAUCUUCUGCUCAGGCUCAUCUCUGCCCUAUUCUUUUGGAAGCCCGAAGUCCACAAAUGUGCUAUUGUUUUCACAUAGAUACGCUGGUCUUUGCAGCAGCGUAGUCAAAAAA
Cebus imitator (Panamanian white-faced capuchin) is the source of this 2216-nucleotide long non-coding RNA. RefSeq lists it as uncharacterized. The transcript has 2 exons. NCBI's taxonomy places the organism in Eukaryota, Metazoa, Chordata, Mammalia, Primates, Cebidae. The record is from RefSeq and is a predicted model, not a curated record.